UAUGUAGAAGUGUAUAGAGCACGAAAAGUUUUGAUCUUUCGAGGAUUGGUGCGAUUCCAAUUUACAUAA
Molecule: transfer RNA, 69 nt
Filed under: Cherax bicarinatus
Lineage: Eukaryota; Metazoa; Arthropoda; Malacostraca; Decapoda; Parastacidae
Description: tRNA-Gln
Source: RNAcentral